This is a long non-coding RNA of Trifolium pratense (red clover), 2995 nucleotides long. RefSeq lists it as uncharacterized. The record is from RefSeq and is a predicted model, not a curated record. NCBI's taxonomy places the organism in Eukaryota, Viridiplantae, Streptophyta, Magnoliopsida, Fabales, Fabaceae. The transcript has 5 exons.
UAAUUUUUUUCGUUCGAUCACAUAUUUUUCAAAUCUUCUCUGGCUUCCUUCCUUCGUUCAUUCACUUAAUUCGAAGUUUACUCCUUCUUUUCACAAAUUGAUUCACUCCUGCACCACCGGACCACCUAUUCGAAGUCUUUCUCUGUACGAGCUCUUUCUUUUCAUUUGAGCAAGGGUUUCUUUUUCCCCAACCCUUUCUCUGAAACCCUAAAAUCAGCAGAGCCACCACCCUGAACUGCAAACAAUUACAUCGACCACAACCAUUGUCACACCAUUUGAUCGCACCUCUCUCCGUUUUCUCUCUAUAUCAUUCUGUGUUUUAGAUCUAAUUUGAUUUCUUUCAAAUCUCUCGCCAUCAGCCACUGUACUGACGACGAAUCUCUAAUCAUCAGCGAUUUUCUUGCUCAAGGGCUUCUUCACAGACGCAGUCGUAUCACUCAUUCUCAAUAGUUAGUAAGUGAAUCACAAAACCCGUCUUUAUAUAUUGAUUUAUUUUAUUCUAUUUGAGAGUAGAUUUUUGGGUUUUUGAUUCAUGUGUUCCUUCACAAAACCAAUCUCAUGCCACAAAACAUAGUUGAUGUCAAGGAAGUAGUGAUUGGAAGUAGCCUUGAUAGUGUUUUGAUGGCCACAAAACCCAUCUUUAAAGGAUUACUAGAGUCAAUGAAGCAACCAUAUAGCCAAAGUGAAGUGAAGUGCUUCAUGGUCCAGCUUUUAGAAGGUGUGAAGUAACUUCAUGACAACUGAGUGCUUCAUAGGGAUUUGAAGACUUCAAACCUGCUUUUAAAUAACAGGGGUGAGCUAACAAUUUGUGAUUUUGGGUUGGCUCGUCAAUAUGGGAGUCCUUUGAAACCAUAUACUCAUCUGGUGGUUAUUCUUUGGUACAGGUAAGCUUUAUUCAAUUAUUGCAAUGUGUCUAUCUUUGUAUAUAUCUAUAUAUCUAUUACAUAUAUUGGAUUAAUUGGUAUCACAUCAUUCAGAGUGUAGUUUGAUUGUUUACUUGUGUUGUGAAUUUGAUAACUGCGGUCAUGCCUGAUUUAUUGAAUAAAAUGUACUCUUCGUUUGUAGUUAUCCUGGAAUAAUAACAAUUAAUAACCAGAUAUUAAUGAUGCAAACUGGCUUCUACUACUUACCCUGUCCUUUGACAUUAGGUCAAUGCUUACAUACUUACCCUUCCUUUUUUUUAUCUGCAGCAAUGUGUUCAAUAAACAUACCUCCUAUUUGUUCCUCUGUUAAUUAGUUUUACAUUGUACUGUGUUGCUACUUUAAUUAACUGCACCUGCUUUCAAAUGCGAGAAAAAUUAAUGUCACAAUUGGUUCAAGAGCAAAGUUUCGUUAGACGAUACACCUAGUUAAAUUCUAUUGGAAUUUCUCCUGUAAUGAAAUGUUCCCAUUAAUAGAUUUUAAAUUAUAGAAAGUUAUUGCUUCUAUUUAUUUUUCUGAUUUUAUUGUCUUCAUAUGUUGGCUAGUUUUAGGAUAAAUGUAUGCAGAAAAACACAUUGGAGAUUGAUAUGGGUUAGAUGGAUAUUUCAAUUUUUAAUUACUAAUCUAUUUUUAAUGAUUGUGAUUAAUUGAUAUAUAAGAACUUAAUUAAUUGUCGUUGGUAGUUUGAAUUGAAUUGAGUUAUUGUUGAGUACUUUGAACUAAAUUGACUCGGAGAAUUCUUCUUAGUUAAAAGGUAAGUUCAAUUAUCUGAUUUGGUGUAUUUGCAAUUUGUUCUAUUUUGAACUAGAACAGACUUUCUAUUUACUUUUCCCAAGUUUAAAUGGAAAGUUACAGUUGUAGCAGCAUAUAGUUGAAUUAGAAUUUGAAGCAAUUGAUAGUUUAAAAGAAUGAUGUGCUCAAGUUUUUUUUCUCCUUUUUUCUAUAUAUGUUUGAAUUAGAAUUUUAAGGACCGAGUUUUCUUGUGAAUGUUAUGUUGCAGGAAGCAUGAAGCAGUUGCUAAGAUUAGUUUCAUGGUAAAUAUGUUUUGUUACUAGAAGAUUCUUGUCCUGAUUAUAUGCUCAACAUAUUAUUCCUUAAUGGUGAUAGCUAUAACUUGGUUUCUUCAUCUACAAUAUCAUAUGGCUUUUAUUUAAUAUUGUAGUUUUCAUUACAGACUGAGGAGUGUUUGAAACGGGAGAAAGAUAGGGUUGUUACCUACACUAUAGUAGGUCGCCAAAGUUAUUAGAGGUUUGUGCUUUACUUGUUCCAUUUUUCAAUGUCUGACUUUUUCUUUUUGAAUUUUUUGAAAGUUCAAUAUUAGCUUUUAUCCAUGUGCGCAAACCAGCUCCUUGAAUAAGAGCAUUCUGGAUGUCUGCAUUACUUAGAGAUGACAAGAUCUAAAGAAGCAUAUAUGGUGGGAAAAAUCUUAUAAAUGUCUUCUUGAAUACAUUUAGAUCAAAUGACUUGAUCCAAUGCUGCGUCAGUGCGAGCAUGAACAUCGUCUAACACUGCGUCAUGUUGAAGACAAAGGUCAAGUUCAUCCCGUCGGAAGCUCUUUGCCUUAAAUUGAAGCAUUCAUAAAAGCUUUACUAUGAGUUGCAAAUGGGAUAUAUGUAGUAAAACAAAAAUUUGGACUGUUAGGUUAUGGCUGCUCGAUCUCUGUUUACGUGGCCAACACAUAUUCUUUUGGUACUAGGUACUUUUUGGUUUAUUUGGUCAAAGAGCCUUCUUGUUUGGAGUGUCUCCACCACAUGAUACAAUAAUGGAUCUUCUUGUUUGGAGUGUCUCCACCACAUGAUACAAUAAUGGAUAUACUUUCUGCCGGAUGAAAGGAAGCUAUGAAGGUGUUGGAGUCUCUUAUAGUUACAAAGUGUAUUAGAAUGAAAAAAACUAAGCUUUAUAUGGAUAUAAUUUAUGUAUGUAUUUUUUUUUUUUUUUGACAAAAUAAUUUAUGUAUGUAUUGACCAUUCCUAUGUUAUGAAUUUUGAGUAAUUCCUGAUUUGCACUAUUUCUAUUGUAAUUUUUCUAUAUAAUCUUUGAUUAAGCAGAGCUUUAUAAGAAUUUAACUUACUAA